ACAGAUAGAUAGGCUACACGAUCCGGCAAUCGUGAGUGAUGAUGAGAGAUUUUGUUUGAAUGGAUUUCUCGCAGCCAAUGAGAUGAAGAGGUAAUAUAAAGGACUUACUCGUGAAGGGGAGUGACGAGACGCCUUGUUGGAUGGAUGAUGUAAUCGAUCGACGGAAAGAAUAAUUGAGUGAAACGAAACAAAAAGAUGAUCGAGAGACUUGCGACACGCUGACUCGAUGCACGCUCCCGCCUCGAAGACUUGGCCACUGAAUAAUAUCGACGCCGCAAUAACUAAAACUGGCGUUCCUGCUGCUCUGCGAGCUGAUUUCCAAGCCGGCUUAUGCUGUUGCUGGCGACCGCUCCUCCCAUCCCUUCAACUCGUCCAAACAUAGGCUUCCGCUUCUCUCUCUCUCUCUCUCUCUGUUUCACGCAGACUUGGGUCUUGGCUUAUCCCGAUUGCUUGUAUUACGGGUCCUGUUUUACUUUUGGAUUUUUUUUUUUUUUUAUCUUAUUCUUUUUUGUAUUUUUGAAGGGUAUCGUGUCUUAUAUACGGCACCUUACUUAUAUAUAUAUAUACUGCAGUCACUUUCACGGCGAGCCCACGCUUAUUUUUAAACUCAUCCCGUGCGCCCACUCUCUUCUGGCGCCUAGUAGCAGCAGCAACAACAUCUUCUCCUGUCGAGUCUGAGAGUCUCAUCAGAAUCACAACAGGACAGCCACACAUGCCCCGCGGUGUCAUUUUGUACACAACAUAGUUCAUAUAGGCGUUUUUUUUUUUUUUUUUUUUUUAAGGGCGGGUCUGUAUGAUAAUAAUGUCUUGUCUAGUUUACAUUGAAUACAUCUUCGGCGUGUAUUUAUAUUAGCUUGAAGAUUUUGUCUCCGGUAUCCCAACAAUCGAUGACAUACCAGCCCACACAUGAAUCGUCAUAAUUGUAGGACUACAUAGCCUAUAACGUUGUUUAAUUAUGUACAAUAUAUUGUAUCAAAAGUAGUUUUUUUUAAGCCACGUAAUAUGACGCAUUUUUUGUAGACACUAUAAUGUGAAUGAUUAAAUUGCUUGAUCAGUAAAUAA
Daphnia magna is the source of this 1062-nucleotide long non-coding RNA. RefSeq lists it as uncharacterized. The transcript has 2 exons. The record is from RefSeq and is a predicted model, not a curated record. NCBI's taxonomy places the organism in Eukaryota, Metazoa, Arthropoda, Branchiopoda, Diplostraca, Daphniidae.